UUCUUCAGGGCGGGGUGCAAUUCCCCACCGGCGGUAAAGUCCGCGAACGCCUUGUGCGCCGAAUCGGUGAAAUUCCGGUACCGACAGUAUAGUCUGGAUGGAAGAAGA
RNAcentral lists this non-coding RNA (108 nucleotides) under uncultured Faecousia sp. RNAcentral describes it as "FMN riboswitch (RFN element)". It matches the Rfam family "FMN riboswitch aptamer (RFN element)". Rfam says of the family: The RFN element is a highly conserved domain that is found frequently in the 5'-untranslated regions of prokaryotic mRNAs that encode for flavin mononucleotide (FMN) biosynthesis and transport proteins. This element is a metabolite-dependent riboswitch that directly binds FMN in the absence of proteins. In Bacillus subtilis, the riboswitch most likely controls gene expression by causing premature transcription termination within the 5' untranslated region of the ribDEAHT operon and precluding access to the ribosome-binding site of ypaA mRNA. The record is from RNAcentral. Lineage: Bacteria; Bacillati; Bacillota; Clostridia; Eubacteriales; Oscillospiraceae.